RNAcentral lists this ribosomal RNA (910 nucleotides) under uncultured bacterium. Its description in RNAcentral is "bacterial SSU rRNA". It matches the Rfam family "Bacterial small subunit ribosomal RNA", at positions 8 to 916 of the family's 1533-position model. The record is from RNAcentral.
AGAGUUUGAUCCUGGCUCAGAUUGAACGCUGGCGGCAGGCCUAACACAUGCAAGUCGAACGGUAGCAGGAAGUGCUUGCACUUCGCUGACGAGUGGCGGACGGGUGAGUAAUGCUUGAGAACUUGCCUUUAGGUGGGGGAUAACAGUUGGAAACGACUGCUAAUACCGCAUAAUGUCUACGGACCAAAGGGGGCUUCGGCUCUCGCCUUGAGAGAGGCCCAAGUGAGAUUAGCUAGUUGGUGGGGUAAAGGCCUACCAAGGCAACGAUCUCUAGCUGUUCUGAGAGGAAGAUCAGCCACACUGGGACUGAGACACGGCCCAGACUCCUACGGGAGGCAGCAGUGGGGAAUAUUGCACAAUGGGGGAAACCCUGAUGCAGCCAUGCCGCGUGUGUGAAGAAGGCCUUCGGGUUGUAAAGCACUUUCAGUUGUGAGGAAAGGUUGGUAGUUAAUACCUGCCAGCUGUGACGUUAACAACAGAAGAAGCACCGGCUAACUCCGUGCCAGCAGCCGCGGUAAUACGGAGGGUGCGAGCGUUAAUCGGAAUUACUGGGCGUAAAGCGCACGCAGGCGGCUUGUUGAGCUAGAGGUGAAAGCCCCGCGCUCAACGUGGGAACUGCCUUUAGAACUGGCAGGCUAGAGUCUUGGAGAGGGGAGUGGAAUUCCAGGUGUAGCGGUGAAAUGCGUAGAUAUCUGGAGGAACAUCAGUGGCGAAGGCGGCUCCCUGGCCAAGACUGACGCUCAUGUGCGAAAGUGUGGGUAGCGAACAGGAUUAGAUACCCUGGUAGUCCACACCGUAAACGCUGUCUACUAGCUGUUUGUGUAUUUAAUACGUGAGUAGCGAAGCUAACGCGCUAAGUAGACCGCCUGGGGAGUACGGCCGCAAGGUUAAAACUCAAAGGAAUUGACGG